This 253-nucleotide RNase P RNA is filed under the name Bacillota bacterium. RNAcentral's name for it is "Firmicutes bacterium (gut metagenome) partial RNase P RNA component class A". It matches the Rfam family "Bacterial RNase P class A", at positions 88 to 367 of the family's 367-position model. Rfam says of the family: Ribonuclease P (RNase P) is a ubiquitous endoribonuclease, found in archaea, bacteria and eukarya as well as chloroplasts and mitochondria. Its best characterised activity is the generation of mature 5'-ends of tRNAs by cleaving the 5'-leader elements of precursor-tRNAs. Cellular RNase Ps are ribonucleoproteins. The record is from RNAcentral. Lineage: Bacteria; Bacillati; Bacillota.
CCGAAGGCGACUUCAGGGAAAGUGCAACAGAGAGAUACCGCCGGAUUUUUCCGGUAAGGGUGGAAAGGCGAGGUAAGAGCUCACCGGCGUGUGGGAGACCCCACGACCCUGCAAACCCUAUCCGAUGCAACAUCAGCGGGGAGGUUAUCAUUGGCCCGAUGCUCCCGAAAGAUGGCUUGAGCACCAGCGGCGACGCGGUGCCCAGAUAGAUUGCCGUAUUCAACAGAACCCGGCUUACAGGUUUAGUCACAGU